GAUAAAUAGUUUUCACCUGAGCCAGGCUUGCGUUACUUCCGUGACUUCAGUCUUUGCUCUCCUACCCUCUCACUUACUAGCUGAGCGAUCUGGGGGAGGUUAUCUAACCUUCCUGAGCCUCGUAUUCCUCAUACCGAAAACGGAGGUAACCAGAGUAACUACAUCCAAAAAUUGAGAGAACUGAAUGAGAUAAAUAAGGCGGGGUGUUUUUAACACGUCCUGCACAUGAAGACAAUACCAUGAUCAUGAAAUCACUAGAGAAAUCUGUCGGGGAAAGUCUGUGAGGAUAGUCUCAUCUGUAACACAUGUGUCCUCCAGAAAAAAAGUAUAUGGCUUUCAGACUAAAUUUUACUCCUUAUCCAAAUGGAAAGAAUAUCUAAAGAGACAAAGUGUAAUAAUCCAAGAAUCUUCUAUUGUGAGAAUAAUGGAGAUUGACAUUGUGAAGUAUAUAGAAAAACAUAAAAGAAAUUCUUCCCCCCCUCCCCCCACCCCACCCCAGCUACGUGGAGAAAUGGCCACAGCUGCUUCUCUUUUGUCUGCCAGGGGUGCCAGGCAUAUCUCUUCUCACACAUGCUUGAGUGACUGCCAGCCAUCUUCCCCGUAAGAAGGUCUGCAUAGGGAAAUAAGCACUACUGAAUGGAGACCAAUUAUUAGAUGGCACUGUUGCGAUUCCAGCCAAGCAAGAGAGAAGCAGUGCUGUAAGACAGAAGAAAAUAAUCAAGAAAUUCAUUUUGGACCCUUGUGGUUGUGUCUCCAAACUACAAGCAGUGGUUUAGAACAGGCGGAGUAGGAUAAGAGCAAUGAUGGCAAGAACUGAAGGCUGGGGACAGGAGCGUCACCAAGGGAGAAAGGAGUGAAGAGGAAAACAGUGCAAACUCCUGAAGAUCCAGUUGGAAGGAAGAGAAAUCAGAUGAAUUAUAAUCAACCAUUUUCACUGCAUUUCCAAGAAUGAAAAAUUAAGAUAAUAAAUAGACAAAUUUACAACCACAGAAUAUCAUGUUUAAAAGAUUCUGUAGGAAAAAAGAAAUAUGAUUUCAUUAAAACAUUGACUUUAAAAUAGACAUAGUAAGAUAGAAAUAUCAAACCAAAUUAUGAACAUUAAAACAAACUAUUUUUAGGAAUAAUUCUAGAUUGGGCCUUCAAUUUUACAUCAGUGAUUUUAUUUUGGAGUGAUUUGGAUUUUUUGUCUCUAGACCAGCACAAGUGGAUUAUUAUCAUUCAGUCUUUGAAAGGAGAAGAUACAGUUUCCAGUCACUAAUUUACAAUAUUGUUCUAUCAGUAUCUUCCAUGAGAGGUGAUUUACUAAUUUUUUUCUCAAUGUGAAAAGAUCCAGGAGACCCUGUUGCAUGUACUGGAAAAUAAGUUUGUUGAGGAUUUAUUUAUAUAUUUCUCAUAAUAACUUCCGAACUUGAGAAAAUGUUUGUC
RNAcentral lists this long non-coding RNA (1425 nucleotides) under Equus asinus (donkey). Its description in RNAcentral is "lncRNA (ENSEASG00005026054.1)". The record is from RNAcentral. Lineage: Eukaryota; Metazoa; Chordata; Mammalia; Perissodactyla; Equidae.